RNAcentral lists this ribosomal RNA (529 nucleotides) under uncultured bacterium. Its description in RNAcentral is "bacterial SSU rRNA". It matches the Rfam family "Bacterial small subunit ribosomal RNA", at positions 8 to 526 of the family's 1533-position model. The record is from RNAcentral.
AGAGUUUGAUCCUGGCUCAGAUUGAACGCUGGCGGCAGGCCUAACACAUGCAAGUCGAACGGUAACAGGAAACAGCUUGCUGUUUCGCUGACGAGUGGCGGACGGGUGAGUAAUGUCUGGGAAACUGCCUGAUGGAGGGGGAUAACUACUGGAAACGGUAGCUAAUACCGCAUAACGUCGCAAGACCAAAGAGGGGGACCCUCGGGCCUCUUGCCAUCGGAUGUGCCCAGAUGGGAUUAGCUUGUUGGUGGGGUAACGGCUCACCAAGGCGACGAUCCCUAGCUGGUCUGAGAGGAUGACCAGCCACACUGGAACUGAGACACGGUCCAGACUCCUACGGGAGGCAGCAGUGGGGAAUAUUGCACAAUGGGCGCAAGCCUGAUGCAGCCAUGCCGCGUGUAUGAAGAAGGCCUUCGGGUUGUAAAGUACUUUCAGCGGGGAGGAAGGGAGUAAAGUUAAUACCUUUGCUCAUUGACGUUACCCGCAGAAGAAGCACCGGCUAACUCCGUGCCAGCAGCCGCGGUAAUAC